RNAcentral lists this transfer RNA (75 nucleotides) under Bacillus songklensis. RNAcentral describes it as "tRNA-Asn". It matches the Rfam family "tRNA". From Rfam's summary of the family: Transfer RNA (tRNA) molecules are approximately 80 nucleotides in length. Their secondary structure includes four short double-helical elements and three loops (D, anti-codon, and T loops). Lineage: Bacteria; Bacillati; Bacillota; Bacilli; Caryophanales; Bacillaceae. The record is from RNAcentral. RNAcentral also lists the same sequence under 3 other names.
UCCACAGUAGCUCAGUGGUAGAGCAAUCGGCUGUUAACCGAUUGGUCGCAGGUUCGAGUCCUGCCUGUGGAGCCA